AGGACCAGUUCCCUCGUAAAUCCACUGGAAUGCAAUAAACGCCAACGACGAGCGUUACGCUCUCGCCGCCUAACACCGGCGAGACGCUGUACCGGCUGGCUCAUGGGCCGGACGGGAAAACGGGCGCAAGCCCGUUUGGAUGGGAUCGAAGCCUUCGGGUCGCGAUCUGAGCCGUAGCCCGUAGCAGCGUCAUUUUCAUGAGCUAAGGCCGUUCCUCGCCGCGGGGAACGGUUCGAAACACUCAGCGGAUCGCCUGCUGCCAGCCUGCCCGUUGGCGUGCAGCGGGUCAAAUCAAACAAUGGGCUAA
Molecule: transfer-messenger RNA, 307 nt
Filed under: Rhodocyclaceae bacterium
Lineage: Bacteria; Pseudomonadati; Pseudomonadota; Betaproteobacteria; Rhodocyclales; Rhodocyclaceae
Rfam family: transfer-messenger RNA
About the family: Bacterial tmRNA, also known as 10Sa RNA or SsrA, is named for its dual tRNA and mRNA-like properties. Its role is to liberate the mRNA from a stalled ribosome.
Source: RNAcentral